This 715-nucleotide long non-coding RNA is filed under the name Heterocephalus glaber (naked mole-rat). Its description in RNAcentral is "lncRNA (ENSHGLG00100046578.1)". The record is from RNAcentral. Lineage: Eukaryota; Metazoa; Chordata; Mammalia; Rodentia; Bathyergidae.
CACACACUCCCGCACACACAGAUCCUUGCAAGAGCGAAGGAUCUCACUUCUGUACCUCCUCAGAAGAAAAAGGAAGAAAACUGCUCCAGUCUUCAGCUGUGUAAGCCUUCAGAGAGAUAAACAGGGCUGCCCCUUCCUCCUCUGUAAAGACGUGGGAAGCCAGGAAUGGCGCGCAUGUGAAUGAAUCCACCUGCUCUGAUGCUGCAGGCAGUGAGGUUCUGAGUGUGAAUCCUGGGAAAUGGCGUCCAGGCAGAGGCCACGUGGGCGAGGGCCACUCUGUCGCUCUGAGGAGCUCGUGAAAGCUACUGUGUGAAUGAUGUGGCUCCCCCUCCACGCGGGAAACUGUGAGGGGCGCCUGACCACGCCGUGACAAACCAGGUGGUGGUGGGAGGCACCGUCCAGGUGUGUUGCCAUGGUGUCAGCCUGUGUCCUGCACACCAAGAAGUCACCAGAGGGCAUUCUGCUCCUUGAGGAGGUGCGCCUGUGGUCGGCACUGUGCUCUGGGCGCUUUAACUUCAUGAUUCAAGGCGUCGCAGCCUCCACCUUUCCCAUUGGAGUCUCCACAACCCCACCCCACCAACUUCAUCCAACCUGGCCUGGCACAGAGAAGCAUGGCAGGCCCGAACCUGGCUGUUUGUAGCAUCACAGCAAGUCUUCAUUGCUGACUGUCUUAUUCCAACCCUCUAACCAGAAGAGUGACCAAGGAAACCUUCCC